ACCACCAAGACGACGAUGCGUAGGGGUUCUGAGAGGAAGGUCCCCCACACUGGUACUGAGACACGGACCAGACUCCUACGGGAGGCAGCAGUGAGGAAUAUUGGUCAAUGGGCGGGAGCCUGAACCAGCCAAGUCGCGUGAGGGAUGACGGCCCUAUGGGUUGUAAACCUCUUUUGCCGGGGAGCAAAGUGCCGCACGUGUGCGGUUUGGAGAGUACCCGGAGAAAAAGCAUCGGCUAACUCCGUGCCAGCAGCCGCGGUAAUACGGAGGAUGCGAGCGUUAUCCGGAUUUAUUGGGUUUAAAGGGUGCGUAGGCGGACGCUUAAGUCAGCGGUAAAAUUGCGGGGCUCAACCUCGUCGAGCCGUUGAAACUGGGUGCCUUGAGUGGGCGAGAAGUACGCGGAAUGCGUGGUGUAGCGGUGAAAUGCAUAGAUAUCACGCAGAACUCCGAUUGCGAAGGCAGCGUACCGGCGCCCAACUGACGCUGAAGCACGAAGGCGUGGGUAUCGAACAGGAUUAGAUACCCUGGUAGUCCACGCAGUAAACGAUGAAUGCUAGUUGUCCGGGGCGAUUGAGUUCUGG
RNAcentral lists this ribosomal RNA (581 nucleotides) under uncultured bacterium. RNAcentral's name for it is "bacterial SSU rRNA". It matches the Rfam family "Bacterial small subunit ribosomal RNA", at positions 264 to 842 of the family's 1533-position model. The record is from RNAcentral.